Anolis carolinensis (green anole) is the source of this 4629-nucleotide long non-coding RNA. The record is from Ensembl. Lineage: Eukaryota; Metazoa; Chordata; Lepidosauria; Squamata; Anolidae.
GGCAGCUGAUGCCACGCUGCCCUGGGCCUCCCUUGACCGCCUUCCCUGCGCAAAGCUGCGCAGCGUGGCUCCAGGGGAAGGUGCAGAGAUGAGAUAAGGGCCCAUGCGCUCAGAUCCACGCCCCGCACCGCCUCCCUCUGCCAAGGCCUGGUCCGGCCUCCGCAGCUGCUCCAGCGAGAUAAACCGGCCUCCUCUGCGAGGGAAAUCACAAAGAGAACACGCCAAUGCCUCCCAGGUUGAUGCUUGGGAAGAGGAAGAAAGAGGAGCCCUCCCCAUCAAAGGGGCUCUUGUUCUGUUCUCUCAGUCCGGGCAGAACAUCGCCGCCACUGCCUGAGCGCCGCCUGAGCCUCUGAGUUGUUUCCAAAGUGCAAUAACCGUGCUUCACAUCAGGCACAUUUGUGGCACUCCAUCUUAUCUUUGCAGUGCAUUCGGGAAGGAGAGGAUGGUCAAGAGCCAGGGAGGGUUCGAAUGAAAUGAGAAAUAAAGGAAUAGUAAUCUCUUUCCAUUUCUACUCCCCUCACCACCAUCUUCACCUUCGUCAUCAUUUCUUCAACAUCUUCAUCAUUUCCAUUUCUCUCCCAUCUAGGUCAUCGUUUCUUCAUCGUCGUCUCCAAUUCUUUCCCAUUUCCAUUAUCGUUUCCAUUUCUUCCCCAUCGUCCACAAAGUUUCCAUUCCUUUCCCAUAUUCAUCAUCUUCAUGAUCAUUUUACUUGGUCCCCAUCUUCCUCAUCUUCAUCAUCAUUUCCAUUUCUCUCCCAUCUUGGUCAUUGUUUCUUCAUCGUCGUCUCCAAUUCUUUCCCAUUUUCAUUAUCGUUUCCAUUUCUUCCCCAUCGUCCCCAAAGUUUCCAUUCCUUUCCCAUCUUCAUCAUCUUCAUGAUCAUUUUUCUUGGUCCCCAUCUUCCUCAUCUUCAUCAUUGUUUCCAUUUCUUCCCCAUCGUCCACAAAGUUUCCAUUCCUUUCCCAUCUUCAUCAUCUUCAUGAUCAUUUUUACUUGAUCCCCAUCUUCCUCAUCUUCAUCAUCGUUUCCAUUUCUCUCCCAUCUUCAUCAUCGUUUCUUCAUCAUCGUCUCCAAUUCUUUCCCAUUUUCAUUAUCGUUUCCAUUUCUUCCCCAUCGUCCACAAAGUUUCCAUUCCUUUCCCAUCUUCAUCAUCUUCAUGAUCAUUUUUAUUUGAUCCCCUAUCUUCCUCAUCUUCAUCAUCAUUUCCUUUUCUUCUCCAUCAUCUCCCCCUUAAAAUGGGUACCAAAUAGUCUUACAAAUGAAUUCAAAAUUCCACGGCCAUAAUGUAAUGUUUGCGCAAUGGACUAUAACUCCAAAUACCUAUGGUUCAAAUCCCUGCUCGGUCAUGAAGCUCACUGGAUGAUCCUGAGUGAGUUACGCACUCUCAGCCUCAGAAAAUCCCAUCCAUCCACUGUUUGGAAAGACCUAAAGAGGGAGAAAUGGAAUCCCUGGUAGUGCUGAACUGCUGAACUUGCUGACCGAAAGGUUGGCGGUUCGAAUCCAGGGAGUGGGAUGAGCUCCUGCUGUUAGCCCCAGCUUCUGCCAACCUAGCAGUUCAAAAACAUGCAAAUGUGAGUAGAUCAAUAGGUACUGCUCUGGCGGGAAGGUAAUGGCGCUCCAUGCAGUCAUGCUGGCCACAUGACCUAGGAGGUGUCUAUGGACAACGCCGGCUCUUCGGCUUAGAAAUGGAGAUGAGCUCCAACCCCCAGAGUCAGACACAACUAGACUUCACGUCAGGGGAAAACCCUUACCUUUACCUACGCUGUGAAAUGAAUGCAGUUUGACACCACUUUAAGUGCUAUGGUUCAAUGUUAAGAAAUCCUGGGAGUUGUAGUUUGGUGAGAUAUAUAGCAUGACUCCCUGUUUAGCAAUGGAUGCAGCUGGGACUAAGCAAUCGCAUCCCAAAUACGGUUGUCUUAGGGCACAUCUAUCCAGGGUCUAUUCCCAUCCCAAUUUGCACUUCCAAGAAUUUGCAGCACUUUAUCAGUCACCUCGUGUUUACAAUAUUUAUAUGGUGCACCUUACCCAGUCUACUUUUACAACUUCUCCAUUUUAAUCCAUGUUUUUAUCAGCUCUUGUCAUUUGUUUUUACUGGCUAAUGUUUAAAUUUUUAUAAUUGUGCAUUUUUUUUGUCUAUUGUUGUGUUUUAUAUUGCUAUUAUUUUUAUUUGGGCUUGGCCCCAUGUAAGCCACCCUGAGUCCCCUUUGGGGAGAUAGAGGCGGGGUAUAAAAAUAAAGUUGUUAUUAUUAUUAUUAUUAUUAUUAUUAUUAUUAUUAUUAUUAUUAUUAUAUUAGAAUGAAUUUGGCACCACUUUAAGCAGCAUGGUUUAAUGCUAUGGAAUCCUGGCAGUUGUAGCUCUUAGCUUUCUCUACCUAAGAGUGCCAAACUACAAAUCCCAGGAUACCAUAGUAUCAAGUCGUGGCAGCUGAAGUCAUGCCAAACUGCGUGGAUUUGCAAUCAAAGAAAUACAAGCUUCUAAAGAAAAGGAGAGGAGGCAAAAUGAUUCCAGGAAAAUGCAAACAUGGGAAAUAUGAUGAUAAGAAUAAUUAUAGUCCAUGUUUAAUGUCAGGGGAAAACCUUUACCUAAAGAGGGAGAGUCCACCAUGUUCCUGCGAUGUCUAUUGCAAAGGCGCCCAUCAGUAGAGGAAGCUGGUGGUUCAGUUACUUUGCAGGAAUGGAUGUGGAUAUCAAGGUGCAUCUCCACUGUUGAAUUAAUGCAGUUGGGCACCACUUUAACUGCCAUGGCUCAAUGCUAUGGAAUCUGGAGAGUUGGAGUUUGGUGAGGCACCUUUAACUUGCUUCCAUGAGCUUUGCAUUAAAGACAGAUUGCUUGCGUAAAGAGAUAGCAUUGCAUACCUCCUUGCACAAGCAUGGAACACAAUGGCUACAACCAGAAUUUGCUCUGUGCGAUGGCCCACGUCCCUUACCCUCCAUUCCUCCUCUCUAAACAAAUGCACAACACACACAGCACAACUUCUCUCCAACUUCUCUCUCCAGGACGUGACCCCUGGAUGAAGAUAAGGUAUCGAUUCCCCAUUUUGGGAGGAGGAGACCAACUUAAUGAGUUCAUUAUUUCUUUUUUGGCCCAACUGCAACCGAUGAUUUAUGGCCCAAUGACUAAUUGCAGUGUUUAUUACUUCUGAGGUUCUAAAGGCGUAAAUACUUCCUGCGAAAAGUCCCUGUUGCCGUUCCUUAUUGCAGUUUGAAUUCACACACCUUUCGCUCAGAGGACUUUGCCAGGCUCUUCUUUCCGAGAUGAAGAAACUUUCUCACAUAUGGGCCACUUCUAACACUUGCUUUAUUGCCAGGAAUUGCUUGAUCGUUUGUUCUAAAUUGUUGGUUUUAAUUAUCAGUUUGCUCCAGAUGUCCUUUUAGGGUAUAUAAAUGCUUAUAAAUUACAGAGAAAUAUAACAUAUAGGAGAGACAGCAAUGGUUUGAUUGUUGGGCUACAAUGCUAGGCCUGCAUCUACACUAUAGAAUGGAUGCAGUUUGAAACCAUUUUAACUGCCGUGACUCAUUGCUAUGGAAUCCUGGGAGUUGUAGUUUUAUGAGGACUGUAGCCUUCCUUGCAAAUUAAUGCCAGUGCCUCAACCAAACUCCAUAGUAUUGGGUUUGGUGUCUAACUGGCCCGGGCUGUGGCACAGGCUGGUGAGCAGCCAGCUAGCUGCAGCCAGCUGCAACAAAUCACUAUGACCAAGAGGUCAUGAGUUCGAGGCCAGCUCGGAGCCUAUGUUUGUCUUGUCUUUAUUCUAUAUUAAAGGCAUUGAAUGUUUGCCUUAUAUGUGUAAUGUGAUCCGCCCUGAGUCCCCUUCAGGGUGAGAAGGGCGGAAUAUAAAUACUGUAAAUAAAUAAAUAAAAUAAAUAAACUGCAUUAAUUUCACAGUGUAGAUGCAUCCUGGGAAACCAGGUUUCAAAUCCUCGCUUUGUAAUUGAAACCUAUUGGGUGGCCUUGUCUAAGUCACUUUCUCUCAGCCUCAGAGGAAGGAAAAAGCAAAGCUUCAUUGAAGAAAUCCAGCCAAGGAAACUCCAUGACAGGGUUGCUUUAAGUAAAGGUAAAGGUUUUCCCCGACAUUCAGUCUAGUCAUGUCUGACUCUGAGGGUUGGUGCUCAUCUCCAUUUCAAAGCCGAAGGGCCAGCCUUGUCCAAGGUAGUGUUGCUGGUAUGACUGCAUGGAGUGCCAUUACCUUCCCACUGGAGCGGUACCUAUUGAUCUACUCAUAUUUGCAUGUUUCCGAACUGCUAGGUUGGCAGAAGCUGGGGCUAACAAUGGGAACUCACCCCGUUCCCCAGGGUUGCCUUGUAAUGGUGCAAUUCACAUUUAUUUGCACACUCAGUUGUGCAGUUUUGCAAUUCACCAAUGCACAUUAUUGUCAUGCAACUCCAAGAGUGUAAAGGUACACUUUGUAGCAUCUCAUCCACUGAUCCACAUAUGGAGAUUUGCACAACCUUGAUACGGGAGCUCAACUAAUACUCUCAAGGGCUCUGCGGGGGUUUCCUCCAUUGAGUCCUAUGGAAGCUGGGACCACAAAGGCCAUCUAGUCCAACCCCAUCCUGCCAUGCACUGGCCACUCAUCCAGCAGCCGCUGCCAUGAAGAGGGAAAACUAUAUGACCCAGGGAAUGCAUGCAUAAAC